ACGGAAGGCAGCAGUGGGGAAUAUUGGGCAAUGGGCGAAAGCCUGACCCAGCAACGCCGCGUGAAGGAAGAAGGCCUUCGGGUUGUAAACUUCUUUUAUCAGGGACGAAGAACGUGACGGUACCUGAUGAAUAAGCCACGGCUAACUACGUGCCAGCAGCCGCGGUAAUACGUAGGUGGCAAGCGUUAUCCGGAUUUACUGGGUGUAAAGGGCGCGUAGGCGGGGAUGCAAGUCAGGUGUGAAAUCUAUGGGCUUAACCCAUAAACUGCAUUUGAAACUGUAUCUCUUGAGUGUCGGAGAGGUAGAUGGAAUUCCUAGUGUAGCGGUGAAAUGCGUAGAUAUUAGGAGGAACACCAGUGGCGAAGGCGAUCUACUGGACGAUAACUGACGCUGAGGCGCGAAAGCGUGGGGAGCA
RNAcentral lists this ribosomal RNA (415 nucleotides) under uncultured Oscillospiraceae bacterium. RNAcentral's name for it is "bacterial SSU rRNA". It matches the Rfam family "Bacterial small subunit ribosomal RNA", at positions 341 to 770 of the family's 1533-position model. Lineage: Bacteria; Bacillati; Bacillota; Clostridia; Eubacteriales; Oscillospiraceae. The record is from RNAcentral.